Molecule: ribosomal RNA, 506 nt
Filed under: uncultured bacterium
Lineage: Bacteria
Description: partial 16S ribosomal RNA
Rfam family: Bacterial small subunit ribosomal RNA
Source: RNAcentral
AGUGAACGCUGGCGGUAGGCCUAACACAUGCAAGUCGAACGGCAGCACAGGAGAGCUUGCUCUCUGGGUGGCGAGUGGCGGACGGGUGGGGAAUACAUCGGAAUCUACUCUGUCGUGGGGGAUAACGUAGGGAAACGUACGCUAAUACCGCAUACGACCUACGGGUGAAAGCAGGGGAUCUUCGGACCUUGCGCGAUUGAAUGAGCCGAUGUCGGAUUAGCUAGUUGGCGGGGUAAAGGCCCACCAAGGCGACGAUCCGUAGCUGGUCUGGGAGGAUGAUCAGCCACACUGGAACUGAGACACGGUCCAGACUCCUACGGGAGGCAGCAGUGGGGAAUAUUGGACAAUGGGCGCAAGCCUGAUCCAGCCAUACCGCGUGGGUGAAGAAGGCCUUCGGGUUGUAAAGCCCUUUUGUUGGGAAAGAAAUCCAGCUGGCUAAUACCCGGUUGGGAUGACGGUACCCAAAGAAUAAGCACCGGCUAACUUCGUGCCAGCCGCCGCCGUAA